RNAcentral lists this ribosomal RNA (253 nucleotides) under uncultured bacterium. Its description in RNAcentral is "partial 16S ribosomal RNA". It matches the Rfam family "Bacterial small subunit ribosomal RNA", at positions 524 to 776 of the family's 1533-position model. The record is from RNAcentral.
UACGUAGGGUGCAAGCGUUAAUCGGAAUUACUGGGCGUAAAGCGUGCGCAGGCGGUUCUAUAAGACAGAUGUGAAAUCCCCGGGCUUAACCUGGGAAUGGCGAUGGUGACUGCAAGGCUAGAGUUUGGCAGAGGGGGGUAGAAUUCCACGUGUAGCAGUGAAAUGCGUAGAGAUGUGGAGGAACACCAAUGGCGAAGGCAGCCCCCUGGGUCAAGACUGACGCUCAUGCACGAAAGCGUGGGGAGCAAACAGG